CUUGCUGACGUGACCAGACGCUUGUCUGAGGAUUACGGCGUGCUGAAAACAGAUGAGGGCAUUGCCUACAGGGGCCUCUUUAUCAUCGAUGGCAAAGGUGUCCUUCGCCAGAUCACUGUUAAUGAUUUGCCUGUGGGACGCUCCGUGGAUGAGGCUCUGCGGCUGGUCCAGGCCUUCCAGUACACAGACGAGCAUGGGGAAGGUGAGCAGAUACACACAUGACACAUGGGUACAUACUGAGUGCCUCUGUCACUCAUGCAAACAUUCACUGCCUGUCCUCUUACCUGUCCAGAUGGGUGUUAGGGCCCCAAAGAAGUUUCAGCUCAGGGUUUUGUCUGCAGGAUGUUUCUAAUGUGGUAGGAGACAAAUACCCCUGACAUUCAACCAAGGCAGACAAAGGGGCCAGGCUCAGUGGCUCACGGUUGUAAUGCCAGCACUUUGGGAAGCUGUGGCGGGUGGAUCACCUGAGAUCAGGAGUUCGAGAUCAGCCUGACCAACAUGGUG
Molecule: small RNA, 504 nt
Filed under: Pongo abelii (Sumatran orangutan)
Lineage: Eukaryota; Metazoa; Chordata; Mammalia; Primates; Hominidae
Description: retained intron
Source: RNAcentral